Molecule: ribosomal RNA, 745 nt
Filed under: uncultured archaeon
Lineage: Archaea
Description: bacterial SSU rRNA
Rfam family: Archaeal small subunit ribosomal RNA
Source: RNAcentral
UGAGUCAUUGCAGUAAUGCAAGGCAGACGGCUCAGUAACACGUAGUCAACCUACCCUAUAGACGGGGAUAACCUCGGGAAACUGAGGAUAAACCCCGAUAGAUCAUUAUGCCUGGAACGGUUUAUGGUCCAAAUGAUUCGUCGCUAUAGGAUGGGACUGCGGCCUAUCAGCUUGUUGGUGAGGUAAUGGCCCACCAAGGCUAUUACAGGUACGGGCUCUGAGAGGAGAAGCCCGGAGAUGGGUACUGAGACACGGACCCAGGUCCUAUGGGGCGCAGCAGGCGAGAAAACUUUGCAAUGUGCGCAAGCACGACAAGGUUAAUCCGAGUGAUUCCUGCUAAAGGAAUCUUUUGUUAGUUGUAAAACCACUGAUGAAUAAGGGGUGGGCAAGUUCUGGUGUCAGCCGCCGCGGUAAAACCAGCACCUCAAGUGGUCAGGAGGAUUAUUGGGCCUAAAGCAUCCGUAGCCUGCUCUGUAAGUUUUCGGUUAAAUUCAUCAGCUCAACUGAUGGGCCGCCGAAAAAACUGCAAAGCUAGGGAGUGGGAGAGGUAGACGGUACUCGAUAGGAAGGGGUAAAAUCCUUUGAUCUAUUGAUGACCCCCUGUGGCGAAGGCGGUCUACCAGAACACGUUCGACGGUGAGGGAUGAAAGCUGGGGGAGCAAACCGGAUUAGAUACCCGGGUAGUCCCAGCUGUAAACGAUGCAGACUCGGUGAUGCCCUGGCUUGUGGCCAGUGCAGUGCCGCA